Molecule: RNA transcript, 5863 nt
Organism: Nycticebus coucang (slow loris)
Lineage: Eukaryota; Metazoa; Chordata; Mammalia; Primates; Lorisidae
Gene: CDK5RAP2
Gene name: CDK5 regulatory subunit associated protein 2
Exons: 37
Source: RefSeq, a predicted model, not a curated record
AAGAAGCGCCGGGAAAGAUGGCGGCAGCUGCGGUUUGAAUUCCAGCGGCGCCGCUUGAGUCUGAACAAGAGCUGAGUUGGAGGGGGCGGGGACUUCACGCUGCUGUGUGGGGCCCCCGUGGCGCCAUCGCUCCACAGAGACCGCAGCUACCACUCCCUCAGGGUCUAUGAUGGACUCGGUGUUGGAAGAAGACGUCACCCUGCCCAGGACUCUCAGUGGCUGCAGUGGUCUUGUUCCCCAUGUACCAGAUGACCUGGAUGGCAUCAACCUCAGUGCUGGCUUGGGAAGUAGUGUGCUUCCAAAUGUUUCGGAAGAAAUGGUGUCUCCCACAAGAGCACGGAACAUGAAGGACUUUGAAAAUGAGGAACACGAUGUCAUUUGUCCCAUCAGUGGUGAUAAUAGAUGUGUUUUCUUGAUUGAGCAAAUCACCGAACUGAAGAAAGAAAACUUUAACCUAAAGCUCCGCAUCUAUUUCCUUGAGGAGAGAAUGCAACAGGAAUUUGAUGGCCCUACUGAACACAUCUACAAAACCAACAUUGAACUCAAGGUGGAAGUAGAAAGUCUGAAGCAGGAGCUCCAGGAGAGAGAGCAGCUGCUCAUCAAAGCCUCCAAAGCUGUGGAGAGCUUAGCUGAAGGGGGCGGCUCUGAAGUGCAGCGGGUCAAAGAAGAGGCGCGGAGGAAGGUGCAGCAGGUGGAAGAGGCCCUGAGCGCCAGGAUACUCCUUUUAGAAGAGGAUGUGAAAGCCACCCAAGCAGAACUGGAAAAGGCCUUUGCAGGGACAGAAAUGGAGAAGGCUCUGCGGCUGAACUUGGAAAGCAAGCUCUCAGAGAUGAAGAAGACACGCGAGCGGGACUUGGAGAUGGUUCUGGUCCUGGAGGAGAAAGACAGACUGAUUGAGGAGUUGAAGCUGUCCUUGAAGAGCAAAGAAGCUUUAAUUCAGAGCCUUAAAGAGGAGAAAUCUCAGAUGGCAUCUCCAGAUGAGAAUGUGUCAUCUGGAGAGCUCCGAGGACUUUCUGCUGCUCUAAGGGAAGAACAAGAGAGAGAAAUGGAGGCUGUGCAAGUGGAGCAUCAGAAGGAGAGAGAUCGCUUUGAGGAAAGGAUCCAGGCACUUCAGGAGGACCUGCAAGAGAAGGAAAGAGAAAUUGCUACCGAGAAGAAAAAUAGUUUAAAGAGGGAUAAAGCCAUUCAGGGUUUAACCAUGGCAUUAAAAUCAAAGGAACAAGAGGUUGAAGAACUUAUCUCUGAAAUCGAAGAGCUCAGCGCUGCUUUCGCUGAAGCCCAAGAGGCUGCACAGACGGAGGAAUUCCAGGGGUCAGAAGACGAUAAGCCUGCUCCGUCAGGAGAGGAACCCCUUUUGGAUGAGGUGUAUGCAGAGAACCACAGACUGCGUAGGAACAUUAAGAAGGUCACCCAGGAGCUGAGCGACUUGCAGCAGGAGAGAGAGAGACUGGAGAAGGACCUGAAGGAAGCCCAUCGGGAGAGGAGCAAAGGGGACUGCACCAUCCUGGACCUUAGAAAUGAAGUUGAAAAGUUACACAAUGAAGUGAAUGAAAGAGAGAAAGCAGUGGAGAAUCGUUACAAGAGUCUUUUGAAUGAAAGCCAUAAAAAAUUACACAGUCAAGAGCAAGCCAUCAAACGUCUAAUAGGAAAUGCUAAUGAAAAGGACUUGCUGCUUCAGAAAUUCAAUGAAAAUGAUUUGGAAGUAAUACAACAGAACUGUUAUUUAAUGACCACAGAUGACCUCGAGUUCAAGAGUGAAAGUUUAACAGAAAAAUGUCCUUCCCAGCAGUCACCAGCCAGCACAGGCAUUUCUGAGGAAAAGCCACAGUCAGACUAUGAAGAACUAAUUGAGGUCUUACAGAAAGAGCAGGACAUCUAUACCCAUCUGGUAGAGUCUCUGCAGGAAUCAGACAGUAUCAACAACCUGCAGGCCGAGUUAGACAAAAUUUUUGCCCUGCGGAAGCAACUGGAACAUGAUGUACUUUCAUAUCAGAAUUUGCAGAAAACCCUGGAGGAGCAGAUCAGUGAGAUUCGGAGGCAGGAAGAAGAACCACUUUCAUUUUAUAGUGAUCAAACAUCUUAUCUAAGUAUUUGCCUUGAAAAGCACAAUCAGUUUCAAGUGGAGCAUUUUUCUAAAGAAGAACUUAAGAAAAAGGUCAGCGACCUCAUACAGCUCGUGAAGGAACUAUAUGCAGACAACCAGCACCUGAAGAAAACCAUUUGUGAUCACUCCUGUGUGAGUUUCCAGGGAGAUGGCGGACUUGGGUCAGCAGGACGAACCAAGCUUCUGGCUAGCAAGGAGGACGAGAACACGAUCAAAAUUGGAAAGGAUGACGAGAAUGAUUUCCUGAGUGACCAGCAUUUGGAGCAGAGUAAUGAGAUUUUGGAGGAUCGUUUCAAAGGGUGCUGCAAAAAUGGAUAUUUAGACUGCACAGAUUCAAGUAUUUUAGACUACGAUGGGGCCCACAAACCUGGUUGCCCUGGAGACCAAAACCUGGAAGAAGGCGCCGUGCUCACGAACCUGCUUGCCCCUUUCAUCAAUGAGAAGGCCACAUUGCUACUGGAAUCCAGGCCAGACCUUCUGAAAGUGCUAUGUGAGCUGCUUCUGGAACGAAUAUGCUUGGCAGAGCAGGAAGUUUCUGGAGAACACCUUUAUGGUAAAGCUGAGAAGACACUGAAGCAGAUAGCUGUUCAGCUAAGAGGUGAACUCGGACAGUUUGUCCAAGCCAAGUCAUUUUCCAAACCACAAGAACUGAAGUCACCUUGGGAGGCCCAGCUAUUAAAGGCAGGCGAGGUGUCCAAGGUGGAGCUGAAAGAUGCCUCAGCGCAGACUGAGGCUGUAGAGGACAACCUGCUUGGAUUCAGGCAUGAGGGAACGAGAGAAGCUUGGGAAGAGAAAUCCACCAGGGCCAGAGUCAGUGCUGAGCGCCAGCCAGAGACCUUAUGCAGGAUGCCUGGGCAGCCGGCCCUUCCCCCAUGUCUCCUCAGUGGGACUGAUAGAGAUACUAAGAAGUCCCGCCUGCCAGUCCUAAUAAAACCAUCGCGGUCGUUAGGGAAUGUAUAUCACCUCCCUACCACCCAGGACGUGGUGGCCCAGCUGCAGUGCCAGAUCUUGAAGCUGCAGGGGGAGCUGAAGGAGUUUAAAAAUCACAAUAAACAACUUCACCAAAAGUUAAAUCUGGCAGAAGCACUGAUGGAGGGGAGGCCAGCACCCGACACAACAUUACUGAACGACUCUGAGAUUUACUCGUCCAGUGACCUUGCCAUCUUGCCAGCACGCAAAAAGAAUCCCGAAGAUUUUCUGGGCCUGACAUCGGUAGCUACUUACGUGAGUUCUAAGAGUCAGCCUUCCAUUAAAGCCAGUGUGGCUGGGACUGACCAAUCUGAGGACAUCAAUACCUCAAAUGAUACAGAACAUUUAAAACAGAAAAUCCACAACUUAGAAACUGAGCUAGAGGGCUACCGGAAUUUCAUAUUUCAGCUUCAAAAGCACUCCCAGUGCAGUGAGGCCAUUAUUACAGUUUUGUGUGGGAAAGAAGGGGCGCAGGACUGCUCGAGCAAGCCCACGGUCAGUACUGACGAAGAAGAAAUGACCUUUUCAAGUUUGCACCAGGUGCGAUACGUGAAGCACAUGAAAAUCCUCCAUCCGCUGGCCUCCGAGAUGAUUGAUGGCAGGAUGCUGGAGAGCCUCACACAGCAGCUGCUAGAACAGGAAUACGAGCUGCAGAAGGAGCAGAAUUUGAACAUGGAACUUUUCAGUGAAAUCCACAACCUGCAGAAUAAGUUCAGAGAUCUCUCACCCUCAAGAUACAAUUCAUUAGUUCAGUCCCAAGCCAGGGAGCUCUCCCUUCAGCGGCAGCAGAUUAAGGACAGCCAUGGUAUCUGUGUCAUUUACCGUCAACACAUGAAGACAAUGAUUAAGGCAUUUAAAGAGUUACUGCAGGCCAGCGACGUGGAUUACUGCGUGGCCGAGGGUUUCCAGGAGCAGCUGAACCAAUGUGCUGAACUGCUGGAGAAAUUGGAAAAGCUAUUUCUCAUCGGAAAAUCAGGUGGAGUCGAAAUGAGCACCCAGAAUGAACUGGUGGAGAGGAUUGAGGAAGACCGCCCAACCUACCAACAUAUUCUACCUGAAUCUCCCGAGCCUUCAGCCUCUCGUGCACUGUCUGACUGUGAAAUAUCUGAAAAGUCCUUCUCACGAGACCAGAAGCAAGACAGUGAGACUGAGAAGACUUCUGUUGUGGUGAACAAUUUUUCUCAAGACUUACUAAUGGAACACAUACAGGAAAUUCGAACUUUGAGAAAACGUUUAGAAGAAUCUAUUAAAACAAAUGAGAAGCUCCGGAAACAGCUGGAACAGCAAGGAGCUGAGGCUGAUCAAGGUCCUACAAACAUUUGUGCAUCUGGUUCAGAGCUGCAUAACUCUCUAACAUCAGAAAUUCAUUUCUUGAGAAAGCAAAACCAGGCCCUGAAUACAAUGCUCGUUAAAGGAUCCAGAGAUAAACAGAAAGAGAAUGAAAAAUUACGGGAGUCCCUCUCCAGGAAGACUGCGAGGCUGGAGCAUCUUCAGCGGGAAUGUGCCGGUGUGAAGGAGGAGAACGAAAGGCUGCAGAGGGAAGUCAGUGGGAAGGAGAGACACAGCCGGCAGCUGCUCGCGGAGGUCUGCAGCACCCGCAAGGAGCUGAGCAGGCUGCAGGAGGAGGUGAGGUUGAGGCAGCAGCUGCUCUCCCAGAACGACAAGCUACUCCAGUCCCUGCGCGUGGAACUGAAGGUGUAUGAGAAGCUGGACGAGGAGCACAGGAGACUGAGAGAGGCCAGAGUGUCCGGAGAAGGCUGGAAGGGGCAAGAGCCUUGCAGUGACCUGCACGGCCUUCUGACUGAGAUCCAGGACCUGCGGGUGCAGCUGGAAGGGAACAUCGAGACCAACAGUGCACUGCAGAGCAGGCUGGAGGAGCAGCUGGCCAGGGGGGCAGAGAAGGCAGAGAAAGGAGCCCUCGCUCUGGCUGUCCAAGUGCUGGCCGUCCCCCAGCAGUCGCUUCAGCUGGACAUACCCGAUGGUGACAAAGGUCUCAUGGCAAGUGAUAAUUCAUUUGAUCUGUUUGAUUCCAUUCAGGCAGUGACACCAAAAUCAGCUUCAGAGACCUCUCCAUUCUCUGGGAAUGAUGUGGACUCCCUCUCCUGUGACAGUGGCAGCUCAGCCAGCCUCCCAGGUGUGUCUCACCUGGUCACUGGCUCCCACCUGUGGGCCAGCAAGGACGGCCACCAUGUCCUGGGCCUGAUUGAGGACUUUGAGGCUCUGUGCAUGCAGAUCAGCCAGGGCCAGGGGCUCCUUGCCCAAAUGCACAUUCAAACCCAAGAGGCUGUCGGUCCUGCAAGUGAAGAGCUGGCAACAAAGCCACUUGUCUGGGAUCCUGGGCCAGUGCUCCCAUUUGUCCACUUACUCAUCUGUCCUCUGCACCUACGCCCCAGUGUCAAUGCUUCCGCCAGUCCCCUGUCUGUGGCUCAUCAGGCUCCGGGGCAGGCCCUAAUCCUCAUGAAGUGUCCUGUGCCAUGCCACGGCAUCUGCAGCUGCUGUGAUGGGCUUGCCAGGGCCAGGGUCCACAUUCGGUGCUGCUAAGCAAGUUUAUCACCCAUGUGAGCGAAGCCAAGCUGAUCCUGGAUGAGGCCUCCAGGCAACUGAAGCUUCUCUGGAGGGUCUCACUUCCCACAGAUGGCCAGUGUGGCCUUCACUGCGAGCAGAUUGGAGAAUUGAAAGCAGAGAUCACCGAACUGCACAAAAAAUUGUCUGAACAAGAAAAGAAGUUGCAAAACACUGUGCAGCUUUUGCAGCUGAGCAAGCACCAGGAGAAAGUCAUCUUUGAUCAGU